ACUUCAUAGCAACAGCAAGGUUCCCUGGGGUUCAACCCCGGGGUGAAAAGGGAAGCCGGUGUAAUUCCGGCACGGUCCCGCCACUGUAAACACUGAUCCGCUUAACAAAGCCACUGUGAACAAUUGUUCAUGGGAAGGCGUUUUGCCGGAUGCGACGUGUGAGUCAGGAGACCUGCCAUGCUGUAUUUUCAAAC
Molecule: non-coding RNA, 194 nt
Filed under: Salisediminibacterium beveridgei
Lineage: Bacteria; Bacillati; Bacillota; Bacilli; Caryophanales; Bacillaceae
Source: RNAcentral